CGCACGUCAUACGGAAAACGUCAUUUUGAGGCUCACCCUGUUUUGCCCAAGUACUGCUUAGGUGUCACGUGUACACACUACACAAGGUGUCAUCCUCGUGCUAUGGUGGAGUAUAGGCACGUGUUGACGUCAUGGAGUUCUGAGGACUGGGACGAGGUAAGUGAGAUUCAAUAUUGCGCUUUGUUUCCAUGCUCUCAUGAAAGCAUUACAGUGAAUGGAGUCAUGAAAAUACAAAAAUAAGAUGAA
Ornithodoros turicata is the source of this 246-nucleotide long non-coding RNA. RefSeq lists it as uncharacterized. The transcript has 3 exons. The record is from RefSeq and is a predicted model, not a curated record. Lineage: Eukaryota; Metazoa; Arthropoda; Arachnida; Ixodida; Argasidae.